Molecule: long non-coding RNA, 16568 nt
Filed under: Populus tremula
Lineage: Eukaryota; Viridiplantae; Streptophyta; Magnoliopsida; Malpighiales; Salicaceae
Description: long non-coding RNA (PTRE_LNC002918)
Source: RNAcentral
GUAUGGUGGAAGCAUGCCUCAGACCUAUAUUUAUCCGGUUCACCCCUACCAGGACCCUUCUUGCUCCAUCAUGUAGUUACCAAACAGGCUAGCCAGAAGCAGAGAGAGAGAGAGACUGAAGUCGAGUCUGUUUAUUUAUAUAUAUUGUAGAACAUGUUGGGCCGCUGCUGUUCCAUGUCUGAAAGGGGGGGAGAUGGUGAGGGAAAUCGGGAUUACAUAUGCACGUGCCACGUGUAAACAAGCUUCUUUGCCUGUAUCAACUUUUCAUUUAACAGGAGUGACAAAUCUGGAUGUUGGAAAAACAUGGUGAUUCAGUCGUUAUUCAACACAAUAAUAUCAACUUCUGAACCAACUCGAGCACCAUAUUGGCGCAUCUUCUCCCCUUUUUCUUUUCUUUUUUUGGUAUCAAAGGCACAUCCUGUCCAGUGAACAAUUAACAAUUAUUAACAAAAACAGAACUCUAAACGGUAUGGAAACAUACUACGUGGAUGCUGUAGAUAAAGGGGGGUUUUAGAAUAUGUAAAUAAAUUGUUUUAUCUUUUUUAAAAAAUAUAUUAAGAUAUUAUUUUUAUUUUAAAAAAUUUAUUUUUAACAUUAAUAUAUCAAAAUAAUUCAAAAAUAAAAAAAUUUAAAUUUCAAAAAAAAAAUUCAUAACCUGUGAAAUCACGGUUUUGAAAAGAUAAACGAUACCUAAGACUUGCCAUAAUAUAUGGCAUAAUAUGAGCCUGUUUAGGAGUGUUGUUAUUAUUUUUUAAAUUUUUACUUAGAAAUAUAUCAAAAUAAUAUUUUUUUUAUUUUUUAAAAAUUAUUUUUUUUAUCAGGGCAUCAAAAAAUAAUAUAAAAAUAUUAAAAAAUAUUAAUUUAAAGUAAAAAAAUUAAAAAUUUUUAAAUUAUUUUAAAAAUACUUUAAAAACGCUAAAACAGAUAGAUUUACAUCCAAAUACCUUAUCUUUCAAGGCUAUGGGAUGAUUCUGAUUUUUUUUGAGAACGUGAUAUAAAUUGUGUUUUUUUAAUUUUAAUUAUUUUAUUUUUAUUAAAAAUUAAGUUUUUUUAAAUUUUUUUAUAUUAUUUUAAAGUGAUGAUAUUAAAAAUAUUUUUUUAAAUAAAAUGUUUUUUAAUAUAUUUUUAAAUAAAAAAAACUUUAAACGAAAAUAAUUACUUAACAUUUCAAUCAAUCCAGCGUUCAGUGUGGUUCCGUCACUUUCUCUUUUUUCGGCUGGUUUUGCUUUUCUUAAUGGUGCGGCUUUCCAUUGCUCUCAUCGCGCCUUGGGUUGUUGGCGCUUCCUUUUGAACCUUGGAGGGCUGGGUUUUUUGGGUGUUGUGUGCUCAGCUUCUUGUGCACUGGCUGUGAUGGGAUUCGGCGGCGGCUUGAGGUUGCCGGGCAGGCUUUGGCAUGGUUGGGGGUGGGGUUAUUUUAUUCCGGUCGUGUCUGUUGCCUCAGAGAAAACGACCCGGGGUCAUGAUCAUGCAUUGAAUGCAAUGCCCACUUGGCUGGGCCCUUCGCUCUUCAACAUUGGAACUUGGAAGAGCUGCUGAUUAUUGGGUUUGAUUGGACGUCUGUUUGAUCUAGACUGUUGACUGGGGAAUUCCAGUUCCAGGUCUUUUUUUUUUUUUUUGUGCUCACAAGCUGUUUGGUCGAUGACAAGUUUGUGAUUUUCAACACUCUUCUGGUUUGGUUAGUUUUUUAGCUUUUUUUUUUUUUUUUCUGGUAACCGGGGUGUUCGGGCCAGCUUGCACGCACCACAACUAAUUUCCGGGCUCACUGAACAUCCUGCAAGUCUAAUGAGCAUGUAAGGUACCGCGAGGAUGACAAACAUACACAUAGAGGAUAAAAAAGGAUGGGGGCGGAACAAGUCACACGAUUGACCACAAUAGCUGGACCCUCAAGCGUGUUUUUUUUUUUUUUUUUUAUCAUUUUAGUUGGCCUUUACUUGCCCUUUUAUCAUUUCAGGUUCUGUUUCAUUGUUUUUUUUUUUUUUUUUUAUGUUAUAUCAUGCUAGUGCUGUCCUAGGGCUUCCCAUGCUUUCACAUCCUCUCUCUCUCUUUUUUUUGUUGGCUUGGGUCGCGUAGGUAGGUUCAUUUGCUUCUCCUUUUUAUCCUCUUUCAUGCCUCCCUCCUAGGUCUGGCUCAUUGGUUUUUCUGUUCAUUCUAUUUCUCUGUCAUUGUUCCUGCUGGUGCUUCUUUUUGCCCAUUUUUUGUUGCUUUCUUUUCGUUAUCUUUUGUUUCCUUGUUCUUUUAUGCUGGUUUCUUCGAGACCAUCUUGCUGGUUUUUAAAUGGAUUUGAUUGGAUAUAUAUGCAGGUUUGUGUGGUCUUCAUGCUGUCUCUGACGGACUGCUCUCCUUCUGGUUUGCUGUUCCUGCGUGUCUGAUCUCCUUAUAGGUUCGUCUUCACCUCGUCGCCUGUUUGUCGGUUCUUAUAAGUUCUUCGAACAUCCUUUUUCCGUGGCAUUAUGGGUGUUUAUUGAUUGCUGCUUUGAGGACAGUGCAUCCUUAUCAGGAUUUGUGCACUGUGCUCCUUUUAAAACGUGUUAAGUAUUGUAGCAGUCUACUGUAAUUGUGAUUUGAAAAAAAAAAUUUAUAAAAUAUUAUUUUUAAUUAAGAUUAAUUUAGAAAAAUAUAUAUUUUGUUAAAAUAUGGUUGAAAUUAAGAUUGAACAAAAAGUAGUUUAAUGUGAUUUGUUAAGAAUGCUUUUAAAAUUAAUGUUAUAAAAUAAUUUUUAAAAAUAUAUAUUAAUAUUGAUGAUUUUUAAUUUAAAUAUUAUCGAUUUAACUAUUGCUAUUACAUUAUAAAAUAAAUAAUAUUUUAUAUAAAAUAUUAUUUAUUCUUCCAUUAAACUAUUUACAAUUCUAUCACGUAUAAAAUACAUCCGACAAGGAUUAUAGUUUUCACAAAUUUUUUAAGACCGCAAUAACAUCAAGUAAAAUAUAAUUAGGAACAAAAUUGAGAUUGCGAUUAAAUUCUACAAACGCUACGUGAUCAACUAAUUUCUGUCUAAUUUAUAUAGUGUCAUUGAAUAAUAUUUAAAACUAGUUUUUUUGAAUAAAACAUAAUUAAACUAGAUUUUUAAAAAAUAUUUUUUUAUUAUUUUGUUGGGUCGAACCCGGUUUAAUGUAUUUUUAACUUUGAACCGGACUGGUUUAACCAGAAUAAUGGACAUGCUCCACAGUUCAUGGGUUUUCUCGGCACAAGAAGUAACAAACAGCUGUUUCUUGUAAACAUUUGGCACAGCCACAGUUGGUAGUGGGCUCUACCAGUAAAAAAUUGCUUUUAAAGCAUUAUCAAAUAACAAUAUUUGUGGUUGUGAGAAACCUCACCUGCAAUUAUAAUACUAAACUGCUUGUAAUAAGACCAGGUCAAGUUAUGAAUAAUUUAAUAUUUUAGUAAGUAUAAAAAAAUAUGUUUUAAAAAAAUAUUUAACGCGUGUUUAUUGGUGAUUCCAAACGCUUCUAAUAGCAAGUGCAGGGUUGUCCAGUGUCCGAAUUAAUAAUAUUUUUCAACGACUUUAGCAUGCCAAACAUUCAAUACAAUACACAACGUAUAAUUAAAUAUUGGAUUUAUUUGUAAAUAUAUUAAACUAAUAUUUUUUAAAUUUUAUUUUUAAUAUUAAUAUAUUAAAAUAAUUUAAAAUUUUAUGAAAUGAUGGUGUCCGGCUGUCUGCCUCCACAGACGCACAUUGAAUAUCCUUGCUUGGAUUUAUUUUUCUAUUUAAAUAUUCUUAAGUAUCUAUUCAACAAUAUUUUAAAUUAUUAGCUAACGUGUGUUAGUCAAGUAAGCAGCAGCAAAAUCUGGUUUGAUUCUAGAGCAUUUAUCUCCAAGAGCUUUUAAAAAUUUUAAAAUUUUAAAAAAAUUAUAUUUUUAUUUAUUUCAAAUUAAUAUAUUUUGUCAUGGGCAUAUAAAUCCUUUGCUACAUUUUUAUCCUUCUCCCGCAACCCUUCCCCGUCUGGAUUAUUUUCUUCUGCCUUUUUCCCCAGCCUGUGCUCUUGUUGAAAAUGCAAACUUGCAUUCUCAAGGUACAUAUCUACAAAUAGCAGUGAGCAAUGCAGUUCAGAGCAGCUUUUUCCGUCAAUGCCUUUUCCACCUGAGGGGAUGUGUUCUGCAAGUGCGAGAAAGAUACUCUUUUUUGCUCCUGAUAAUGGUGAGCUUACUGGCAGUGGCACUAAUCUGAAAUAUCCACGGCGACUGUACCGGCACAUUAAUCCUGAAAAGGAAAAGAGCCUCCGGUGUUGAAAUGUUUCGAAGGAAAGCUGCCUUCCCUCACAAAAUAGAUGAACAGUCCUUCAAGAGAUUUACACAGAUUCCUAGAACUGAUAGCUGUGUAGAAAGUUUGCAAGCAGACCACACCAAAACAAAGCUUGCGGUGUGGAUGUCAAAAUCAAUUCAUGCCGAGGAAGAUUUCAAGGAUACACCUGAAACACUGCUCCUAAUUCUCCCUGGGAAGGCAGGAAAAAAGACAGAUCAAGAAAUUUGUUGAUAACUGACGGUGUUUGUGUGGUUAUGAUUGUGUUUGGAAGUGGUUUUUAUCAAUAAAUGCAUUGAAAUAAUAUUUUUUUAUUAUUUUUUAAAAAUUAUUUUUGACAUCACCACACCAAAAUAAUCUAAAACACAAAAAUUUAUAUAUUAAUUUAAAGCAAAGAAAAAAAUUAAAAAUAUUAUUUAAAAAAAAAUACUUUUAAAACGCAUAAACAAACAGGAUCUUUAAUAGUAUAAGCCCCGGUAUAGCUCAUAGUUAUUAGACUCGACCUGGGGAUUGAUCCGGCCAAGAAUCCAGAUCUUGGGCGACACAAGUCAAACUGAAUCAACCCGAAUGUUUUUUUUUUUUUUAAAUUAAGUUUUAAUAUUUCAUGUGAAAAAAUUAAAAAACAGUUCAUGUAAAUAUAAACUAUAUAUAUUAUAGACAAUGAAAUUUAAAAUAUUAUUUUAAAAGAUUUUUUUAUCGCACAUUAAAAAAAUAUUAUGUUAGUAUGUUGUCAUUUUAAGUUGAAUUAUUUAAACCAAAAAGAUUUUUUUAUCCUAUAUUAAAAAAAACACAACUUUUUUCUUAUGAACAUAAAAUAUGUAUACUAAAUGGUUUUAAAUUUCACAUUGAAAAAAUAAUUUUUUUUCUUGUAAACAUAGAAUUUAUAUACCAAAGGGUUUCAAAUCUUAUAUUAAAAAAAAUAAAACAUUCAUCUAGUAUUUAUGUAAUGAACUUAAAAAAAAGUCAAUAACCACCUCUAUAUAUAUAUAUAUAUAUAUAUAUAUAUAAAAGAUGGGUUUUUAGUAAGGAUAAAAAACACAUUUGCAAAAAAAAAAUAACAACUAGGUUUUACUAUAUCGCUGGGGUCAAGAGUCAAUUAAUUUUUUACCUAAGUGUUUAUUUAAUUUCACCGAUUCAACCAUUAAAUUUUAGAUUCACCCAGCAGCUUAAGUCGGAUAUAAUAACUAUAGUUUAGCCGUUGUACGGGGACUAUUUCAUAUUUGACUUGAUGCCCUGCGACCUAUUGAAUGAUGCAUUUGAUAGCUAGCAUGAAUAUUUUUAUAAACAAAAACAUAUUAAAUUAAUAAAUUUUUUAUACAUAAUUUUAAUACAUUAAAAAUAAAAAUAAUCUAAAAACUAUUUUAAUAUAUUUUUAAGUAAAAAAUAUUUUUUUAAUAUAUUGUGUUUAUAAAUAUUUAAAGUAGAUAAAUAAUACUUGUUUAAAUUUUAUUGUUAGUGUCCAGUAAGGACUUUCGCACAAUGUAAAUAGUUUAAUAAAUAUAUUUUAUUUAUAUUAAGUAAUUUAUAGCCCUUUUCACUGGAAUUUAUAGAAACAAAAGAUGUGUUAUUUGCUAAUUUUUUAAAGAAAAAUAGAAUGGGUCUUCCUUGUAUUUAAAAAAAUAUUAAUAAAAAACAAAAUAUGCUUGGGUGUGCGGGUUGGGCUAGAAGGCCUACGCUACUAAACUAUUUUUGUUUUGAUGCUUGGGCUUAAGCAACUCAGGCUUUUUUAUUUUUAUUUUUAUUUUGUAUUUUGUUUUUCAAAAAAAUGAUAAAACAAAUCAUUGAACAUGAUUGAUUUUAUUAUUUGAUAACGAGUUUAACAGGUUAAUCCAUAAUAUUUGAAUUACGGUUUGUGUUUUUUGUUUAAUACCUUAUCUUUCCAUGAUUGUUAUUUUUUUAAAAUAUAAUUUCAUUUUUUUAUCAUUAGUUGUCUAUUUUUUUUUUUAAUUGAACCUAAAAGAAUAUAAUUCAACUCUUUGCUAUCAAUAAUUUACCUUUGUUAUCUCGGCUCCAGGUGCAUAUUACCUUUUUUUUUACUUUUAGAAAAAAUGUUGUUUUAUAAAAAAAAAAUAUAAUGUGUUUUACUAUUGUAUUAUUAAAUAAAAAAUAAUUUUUAAGAUAAAAAUUUAGUGAAUCUAAUAAUGUACAUGAUUGGCAUUGUGAGUGUACUUAGUUUUUUUUAUAAUUAAAUUUUUUUUUAUUAAUUUUAUUGUUUAAUAUUGAAUUAAUCAGUGAUUGAGUUUUUUAUUUAAUAUUUUUUAAAAUUUCACAGAUUUGCCUAUAUUAUUCUAAAUAGAUCAAAUAUUUUUUUUCUUGAUAUUAAAUAAAAAUAUCGUUUAAUUUAUAGUUAAAAUUUAUAUUUUUCAGAAGACACGUCACUAGUGUUUUUUUUUUAACACUUAUUUUUUCCUCACUUGUGCUUUAUCACGGCCAGUAGACUAGUAAAUUCUACACAAUCAAUAAAUUCAAUAAUCAAUUUUUUUAAAAAAUAUAAAAUAUAUUUUUGUUAUUUUUAACAUAUAUGAUAAAAUCAUGCAUAUUUAUUUAUAGAUUUAGAGUAAAAAAAAAUGACAGCAAGUCAGAGAAAGAAACAUCGAUUUCGAUGCCUAAAAAAAGGUGCAGAAUAAAUAAAUGGAGUAGAGUACUUGCCAAGGACAGCAUGUGAUGUUAGAAUACAGUUAACAUCAGAAACGAAGCACUUUUGUCGAAGAAAAUGGUGAGCUCAUGUGUGAAGAGUUUCAGUGAAAGCUUCACUUCAAUGGACUUCUGUUCUUCUUUGCUAACUGCGCGCUUAUCUUCUUCACUAAUAAAACCUCAAUUAUUAACUAGCAGCUUAAUCUCUAGUAGCAUCACCAUUAAUUUCGCAAGCAAGAAGUGUAAACCUCAUCGUGUCUUGAAAGUCUCUGCAGGUUCUUUUUCUUACCACAAGUUCAUUCAUUUUGCUCUCGAUGAAACCAAACGACACGCCCUUUUGGUCCCUUCUCCUCUCCAGGUAUUACUUCACUUUCUUCCUUGCUGUGUUUAUGGAUUCCAUUGCCUGGAAGCAGAAAUGGGUUGCCUUUGAAUUGAGCCCUUCUCCUCAGUUUUUUUUUUAAAUCCUCAGUUUUGGGUUUCAGAGGGUUGAAAAUGAAGCUGGGUUUUGGGUUUUGAAUUAUAUAGGAGAUUUUGGCAACUUUUUUGGUCUGUAACUUGGGAAUUGAGGUGACUGAUCCAUGGAAAUGUUUCUGUGAUUUGUCAUGGUUUGGGCCAUUUGAUCCUUCAAAGUCUAUGUUAAUCCUUUUUUAUAUGGAUAAUCUUCUUAUCGUUCUUACGCCGUACUUUUUAGUAAGAUUGCGUUUUCGUCGUUUCGUUUGUUCGGUCUCCAAGGGCCUAGACACUCUUCCUUUUCUUUUCUUUUUUUACUUUUAAACUUAAUUCCUCUUUUAUUUUAUGCAUCUGCGAAUUUUGUUUAAAAAACGCGGGUUAAACUUGAGCAAGGGAUGGAACGUCUUUCUUCAGCAACUUUUAGCAGAGUUGAUGCUUCAUAUCUAAGCCAAAAGAUUCCGUUUUGAUUUGCUUGCAUAUUUUGGCUAUUGUACUCGUUGUUGGUCGUUGUGCAAAUAUGGACUUUGAUGGUUGUAAUGUUGAAAAUAGUUUCUCAUUCGCUCUCCAAUUUGCCAUCAAGGGUUAUACAGCAUCAGGACACCAGUACAGACUAGAUUACCCUAGAGUCAAGAACCCUUUGUUAUUUCAGUACUAUGUUUCAGAUGACUGUGCCUUCUAGCUUCUGCAGAAGGAAAAACAACAUGUGGUUGUUCUGUUAUUGAUUGCUCACUGCUCAUUGCAAACUGAAUUUCAACAAAACAAAACAAAAUAAAUUCUUUGUGCUUCUAUGAAACGAACUCUUUGGCAGCUGAAAAACAAUCAAUUAUUUUAAAUGUUAAUUUCAUGAUUACAUACAUGGAUCACAAGAACAACUUUUUUGAGUCUAGGAAAAAUAUAGUUCCAUGACUGCGAUGGAUGGAACAACAGAGCUUCAAAUGCUUUCAUUCCAAGCUCCCAAAAUCAGACUCCUACGUAGUUUGAGCAUUGAAAAUGAAGCAAUGCAGGUACCAUUCUCUAGCAAGCUUGUUGCUUUUAUGUACUUUUGCACCCUCAAGUGUUAGAGGGAAAAACUCAUGAGUGCAUCAUGUUAAUUUGAGUUCUUUGUUGCGAUUAUACAUUUUACAGCUAAGUUACUGAUUGCCAUUAGUUGGACUUUCUUUGUGUUCAUUUGUCUGCCAGCAUAAAAAGUAUCUCCUGUACUUGGCAUGUGUGUUGUUAUUAUAGCUUAAGAAAAUUAUUGAGAUUUUUUGGAAUGCUACUCAUAUUUAUUUAGCUUUAUUCUUCACAAGGAUCAUGGCAACAUGAGUGCAAUAUGCUCUUAUCCUAUUCAUGUCAAAUUCUUAUCCUCCUGUGCAAAAGGUAUCCAGCACGGUUAUAUGCACGUUAUCUAGCACCACAAAAGUUCUUUGGCUUGAUGGAGGCGUAGAACGUUUUUGUUUCCCUCUGUAAUAACUGACCUCUGAAAAUUUAUGCAGAUUUUAGAUUUUGCUGUUUUUGCAAGACCUGAAUUUGAUGUACCCAUAUUUUGUGCCAACUUUUUCUCCACUGCCACCAUAAACAUCAUUGUGUUGUAAGCUCCCUCCUCUUCCUUUCUCUGUGCUUUUCUAAGCCCUGUUUUAUUCUUUAUAUGGAAAAUUGUUUGUGCUUCUGUUUGGAUUUUUGUUUCCCUGUUCAGCUUCCUAUUUUCAUUCUAUUGCUUAGAAUUUCUCUUGAAAAUUUAUCUGUGAAAUCUGAUAUGGAAUAAGAAAAGGAAACGAAGCUCAUCAUUGGAGAUUUAGUGCUCUCUACUGUUUCAGGGACGAUACCGCUUUCUGGUUUGAUUUGCAUGCAUGCCUUCUUUUGUUGGUUUGUUUCAACCAGGAACAAUCGUUUGUCCUUUUUUUUGGCAUCGAACUUGAGAUUUUAUUCCUAUAAGCUGGAAUUAAUUGCUGACGUGCUAAGGUUUCUGGAACUUUUAACCCAUUGUAGGGACCUCAACCCCUUGCACAAUGUCAUUGACCAAAGAGACUACAAGGAAAAGUACUUUAAAAGAUUAAUUCCUUUAGGCCUCAAGUAUAGCAAGGUAACUUCAAUGCCUCUCGUGGAACAUUAAACACAAUGGUAUUUGUUAUUUGUUUCUUGAUCCAGUCUAAAAUUAAUGGUAUGGUGACUGAACACAGAUUUCAUGCAGCUUUUUCCUUGGGGAGGAAAGCUCACGAGCGAGUCCUUGAAGUUUUUCUCACCGAUCGUGAUAUGGACCAAGUUUCCUCCAAGUCAGGAUAGUUAUGAUGCUUUAUAUUCUGCUUUCACAGAGUACUACAAGGUUGCUUAACGGCUUUAGCUUCUGCUUUAAAUUACAUUUAAGCUAAUAUGCUAAUGAUGAGAUAUAAAUUAUAAACUGGAAACGGGAUGAGAAUCCACAUGGAUUUAGUAGUUCAAAUGUCAAAUAAAAUGUAGAAUUCCAAUUUUAGCUGCUCAUUUAUCAUUCUCUUCUCUUUUAGGCAUGGCUUGAACUGAUUGACCAAGCACCAGAGGAGAUAGAUGCAUCUCAUAUUACAUGCAAUCGUGAAGCACAACAUAAGUAUCUAACGUGGAGAGAAGAAAAGGUGAUUAUUUAAUGUCCUUUUCCCCUUUUGAUCUCAUCUUCAUGUGGCCCAUCAUAUCUGCCAGUCUCUUCUCAUUGGCUGUAGGACUUAAUAAAGCUUAGAUGCUUGGAAGUAAUCAUGGCAUGUCUUCAAUUUUCUACUUCUCUUCGUUUGAAAAUGUUUCAAGUAAGUUCUGUGACUGUAAUUUGAGUGCCAAAGAGCUGGGCAGUGAUAAGCCUUUUUAAGCCCUUGCAUUUUAGCUUUAGAGAUUAGAAAUGGUCAUUUGAAUACUAAAAAAUAAAAGGGUCAUAAUUGAGCGAAAUUGCCAUCUCUAGACUAACUGUAUGAGAAAUUUGGUUCCUUGAAGUAAAAUAAAGACAGAAAAAUGCUUGUUUUCUAUAUUAUUUUAAUUAAGUUCGUGAUUCAUUUGGAAUAAAAUGAAUAAAAAAUUGAAACAGAUGCUUUCUGCCUUAAAAAGUUGUCCGAGCAACUAACAUCUUGAAGAGGGAUUUUAGCUUCAAGGCAGGAUGAACUCCAAUUGGUUGCCCAGUUUUAGGAAAGAAAACGCCUGAAAAGUACCUAAACUUGUUAGCAUUAAGGCCCAAUCCAAACCCGUGCUCUUUCUCGGACUCUCAGAACUGACUAGGCAUAUUGGUACCUUCAGAUAGAUGUAUCAUUUAUGUAGUACUGUAAUUCCAUAAUUACAGUAUUUAAGCAGAUAGAUUCUUGGCACAGUUUCAAACUUCUCUCUUUUCUGGUCCAACUGUUUGGCUAAUGCAAAUUCUGGAAGCAGGAUCCUGGCCAUGGAAUUCUUAAAAGGUUGAUUGGAGAAAGGCUUGCAAAGGUAUAAUCACUCUCAACAAAUCUUCUUACAUUGUUUGCCACCAAUUACUGAUGCAAUUCUCACCUCACAUCUAAUCCGUAGGACUUGGUUAGAAACUUCCUCUUCAAUGGACUUGAUGAACUAGGCAGUAAAGGAUUUUUGGAUUACUUUCCAGAAUAUCGCCGCGAGGAUGGUUCUAUAAACGAGAAGCGCAGCAUCAUUGGAAAGUCUUUUGAAAAUCGUCCCUGGGAUGCAAGAGGAGAAUUCAUCGGUGGUAAUGUUGUUGUACCGUCUUAACUAUUAUCCUUCUCUGGUUUUUCCCAUCCCGUGUCUUUAUGAUUCACCAGUUUUCUAAAUUUUCUAAAUUUUAUUUCCUGAGAAAAAUAGAAACCUCCCUUGGUAUAAUAUUUUGUACUCAAGAUACUGUAUUUGUGUAUUUACGAAGUUUGCUGUUUUGUCAGAAAUUUUGCAAAUUAAACGAGAACAAGAUUAAUUUACAAAGAAAAAAAACUUGAAACUUAAUUAUUAGCAAAUUAAACGUUGAAUGAUAAAUUGAAUUUUAAAAAAAAAAAAAUAUGACUAUGUUAAACUUAUGAUCAGUUUGUGAGGUCAAGAAAACCCUACAUAAAAAAAGCUGAAUAAAACAAUGGUGGUUAACUCUAAAAAAAUGAAAAGCCAAAUUAAAAAAAAAAACAUAAAAAAAAACUCUAAAUUGAUUCGGAUUAACUUAACUAACUUGAUAUCUAAGAUAAGAAUAACUGCGUAAAAAAAAAUUAAAAAAUAAAAAACUUGAAGAUCCAUUAAUUUAAUAUCAAAUGAUGAAAUUAAAAAAAAUCUAAAAAAAAAAAACUAAAGUUAAUUCGGGUUAAUUUUCAAAACUCGUGACUCAAUUCACAAGACUAGUCACCAACAUCAAAUUAAAAGUUUAUCCUAACACGCGCCACUCAUGAAUAGAAAGAGGAGAUUCAAAUGUCAUCUGAAAGUUGGUAUUUGACAUUCGAGCACCGCUUGCUCAACCAAAAAUAAGAGGUCACAACCUGAAUAUUAUUGCGUGUAAUGCAUAUCUCAAUUAUUUUUCUAAUAAUAUUUAUAUUUUUUAUAACAUUAAAUUGUCCCUCGAUUUAUGUGAUUAUAAAAAAAUAUAAAUAACCUCAUGAAAGCAAGUUUGGUAACUAGGUAAUUUAGUAAUUUUAUUGUUUUGAAAAAAGUGAGAAGACUGAAGAAUUUUUGGGCUCUAGUUUAAAAAAUUUUACUUUUGUAUAUAAUUAAGUCAUUUUAAUAUAUUAAAAAAAUAAAAAUAUCGAUUUAACCUCGGUCAAUUUUGAUAGUGCCAAAAGAGCUUAGUGAAAAAACCAUUUUUCCCCGUAAUUAAUCCGUUCAUUGGUUUUUUCCAUGGAGAACAAAAACAUUACAUUUUAGUUAUCCGUGGUAUAAUUAGUCUUGAUCAACAGUAAAACACUAGUGCAUCUUGUUGCAUAAAGGGUUUUUUCACUGCCAUUAAAUGUUCAGAUUUUCAUGCGAUCGUUUUGGUACAUUGACUAAUUGAGGCCGAAAGUCUCAAGCAAUCUGGAGGUAGAUAGCAUCCACGCCUAAUACUUGUAGCAUUGAAGAGUUAUAACUUGCAGGUAUAGUGUUUUAAACUGCAGGGGUGACUUGUCAUUUUUUGAUAUUCACGUAAUGCACAGUAUGGUGUCUUCUAAAACAGGACCACCAAAAUAAAUUCAAUAUUGAUUUCGAUUAAAAAACAUUCUUUAAUGUACAUGAACAAAUAACGCCUCGUACUUUUGUUAUGUAUCAAAUACCAACAGCUUCAGUUUCUAAUUCAAAUGAAAAGAAAAAAAAGUUUUGCUCUACUAAUAAGCUGACUACAAAGUCUUGCACAAUAAUUAUCAACUAUCUGCAUGCUGAAGCAUGAAAAAGUAAAAAAAAGAAGACAGAAAAACUGGGGUGAGGAAUUAACAACAAAUCACAAAAACUCUCCUGAGAUGAUUUUCUCUAAGUAAGUGCAGUGACCAAAAGUUAUUCAACUGUCCAUACACUAGCACACUUACUAUCACAGUCACAAGGGAGUUACGAUAUAAAAAGAAAUUCCCUAUACUCUCUUACGAAGAUCCAAAAAAACAGGAUUGUUAGUAGAGAAGCUGGCCAAUGGGACCCAUUUUUAGUAGAUUCUGGAAUUGCUCUUACAUAAUCCUUAAGGUAAAGCUCCCUUCUGACAGCUUUUGCAGAAGCUCGGGCUGUUGAUCCAUAGGAACAACCUCCUGAAUUUUGUCCAUGAAUCCAGACCAGUCACCCAUACCUAGCUGGAAGAUCAUAACAAUGCAAACACUAUGAGAAUCAAAAACAUCCACAUAAAUUUCAGAGGUCAGAACAACAUCAAAGCAAAGGCGUCAAACUGAAAGAAAGCAGGAGAAUACCUAGAAGGCGACUAACAAAAGGUUUAACUUCAAAGACUUCAAACACAUCCAUAUGCAACUUGACCGAUACUGCUAUCCGUAACAAAUAUAACAAGUUCGGGUUUCUGGAAGACACAAAACGAAAAAGGAAUCAGAUUUUACUGCAAUAACAAUCAACAAUUAAUAAUAAAAACAACGAAGCAUGAAACCAAUAAUAAUUAAAGAAUAACAUACCGUUGCUUCAGAAACUUGACGGAUUUCUUCAAAAAGUGCAGCUUCCUGUUUAUGCAGUCCAUGUGAGUGUUAUUGUGAGUUUAUCUGGUUAAUUCGUAUCAAUUUAAAUUUUUUAUUUUUUAUUAUUUUUUAUUAUGUGAUAUUAUAUUUAGCAGGUUAACUCAAAUUAAUUUUAUUUUUUUAUUUAUUUUAUACAUGGUUAUCAUGGUUUUUUAAUCCAGAUUGCAGAUUUAACAGAUUAAUUUAAUAUAUUAUUUUUUAAAAAAAAAGUGUUUUGAAUGUUUGUAAAUAAAUGAUAUUUUUAUUAGUUAUUUAAAUUAUUUUUAAAUUCAUUGAGAUAAUUAUAUCAUAUUGAAUGAACCUUCCUUCACUGUUUUAAACUCAUUUGUUUUAUACACUGGUCUUCAUGCUGUCUCUGAUGGAUUGAUCUCCUUCUAGUUUGUUGUUCCUGCGUGUAUGAUCUUCUUCUAGGUUCGUCUUCUCCUCGUCGCCUGUUUGUCGAUUCUUAUGAGUUCUUGGAACAUCUUUUAUCCGUGGGAUUAUAGGAGGGUUCGAUAUAUUAAGUCAGCUGAUUUGUCCCUUACCCGCUCGUGUUUCUUUUCAGAAAAAGUCACUCGUACACACAGCUUUUUAUAAAAUACGAAGUCCUAAUCAAUGUAACUACUGCUGCCCUCCGCCGUUCAUUUUUCAAGAGUGUUUUUUUUUUCUUUAUUUUUCUACAUCUAUAUUUGUUUUUCUAUAAUUUUUUACUUCAAUAUUUACUUUAAUAAAAAUUAAAUUUCAUAAUUUAUUAUGAUUUGCUUUAUAAAUAAUUAGGUUAAUCUUAUAACCUGCAUGUAUUAUGAAUUUAUCGGGUUAACUCGAUUGAUUAAAAUUUGUUUUGUGUUUUUCUAAUUGAUAUUUUUUUUUACUUAAAAUCUUCUAUAUUAAGUUGGUUAGAAAUCAAAUUUCAUGAUUUAUUCUAGUAUCAUGACUCAUGGUAUUGGUUUGAUGGGUUUAUCCAGUUGAUUCGAGUUUUUUUAUUUUUUUAAUUGAUUUUUUUUAAUUUCUUUACUCUAGAAAAAUAUUAAAUUAACUUGGGUUAACCUAAAUCAAUUAAGUAUAUUAUUGUUUUGAUAUUAUAUAUUUUUUUAAAAAAUUCUUAAAUAUUUAUGAAUUAAAUAAUAUUUUUACCAAUUCUUCAAAUUAUCUUCAAAUUCAUCCAAUUAAUUACAUCAUGUUGAAUGAACCUCCCCCACAGAAACAUGUUGAUAAUGAUAGCCACCCUAAUCAAUGUAACUAUUGCUGCACUCCAUUUUCGAACUCUGCUGUUGAUUUUUCAGCGUCCACAUUUUCCCUGGUCCCUUUUAGGGGCAAUUAAAGUGUAAUUAAAGUCUAAUAAUCGACUUGGUUUGCAGACUCUUUCCUCGGUAUUGCUUGCAAGAUGAACCGUGGAUCUCUGUUUUCCUUAUCUUCAAUCAACUAAAAUAAUUGAACCCGAAAGCAACGCGGAUUAGAACAUGCCACAACUUUAUUUUGAAAAUAUUUCGCAGGAUUGUGUGUUUUAUAAAUUAAAAAAAAACCAUCUUGUUUUUAAAGGUAUAUUUAAGAUUGUGAUAAUGAUAAUAGUUCAAAAUAUUUUUUAAAUUUUUUUAAAAAAAUAUUAUUUUUUAUAUUAGUAUAUCAAAACGAUUUAAAUAAAUAAAAAAAUUUAAAAUUUAAAAGAACACAUUGUACCGCAUUUUCAAAUACUCCUGAUUACAAACACAAGUCUUGUCUUGUCUUGUGUAGAGAUGAGAAGGGAUAGUUUAUUUUUGCCAUUAAAAAUAUAAAAAAUAUAAUUUUUUUUUAUUUUAAAUUAGUUUUUUUUAGUAAUUUGGGACGUUGGUAUAAAAAAUAAAAUUUAAAAAUAAAAAAAUAUUAUUAUUUUAAUUUAUUUUUAAAUAAAAAAACUUUAAAAAACUAAUAUCUCAGCGGUCUUUUCUAAUAUCCAACACAAAUCUAGCCUACUUGUCUUGUUUCUUUCUUCUUCUUUUUUUGCCAUUUGGUGAUUAAAAUAAUCAGGUCUUCUAGCUAGGUCGUUGAUAACUGACAAGGAGGACCUCAAACGAAAUGCCGUGUGUUUGCUCUGUCAACUGAAGUCUCCUUGAGAACUUCCACAGAAGUCUCCUCACGCAUGCUCUAACCUAACCCAUGCACUCCUAUAUAAACAGCAAGAACUGCCUCCCAGAUUUCCAUCUUCAAACAACUUGAGCAUUACUUUACUCCCUCCUCUGUUUCUUCAAAACCUCCCCAAAAGACCAAAACCCUCACUUUUGGUGUCUCCUGGACUGUAAAGAGCUCCUUAUUCAUAUCACCAUCUUUCCAACAACCAAGACCAUGAAGGUACGUAUGGUUUUGUGAUCAGAACACAAGUGUAUUACUAGCUUGUUCGUGAAGAUAUUAUGUGUGUUACUUUCAUGUUAUUGAUUAAUUGUGCUAAACUAUUGCAGCAAAAGAUAGUGAUCAUCAGGUGACGGGGAAGGGAGCGAAGUCCGGCACCAAAGCCCUGCAGAUUGCAGCUGGGCUUUCAGGUACUGAACAAAACCUUCCAUGCACACAAGUUUUAGAAUCGGAAUACCUAAUAGAAACCAUGCAUCUGUGGGCAAAUUCAGAUGAUCAAGUUGUUGACGGGUUUAUACAUCUUUUUGUGAUUCUGCAGGUGUUGAAUCUGCUGGUAUAGGAGGGCAGGAUAAGAGCCAGAUAGAGGUGGUAGGCGAUGGAGUCGAUGCAGUACAACUUACAAAUUUGCUGAGAAAGAAAGUAGGCUACGCAGAGCUAGCAAGUGUACAAGCUGUGGGAGAAAAGAAAGAAGAGCCAGCAGUGCAGCCGGUUGCUUGGUCCGUGUAUGGUGGAAGCAUGCCUGAGACCUUUAUUUAUCCGAUUCACCCCCAUCAGGACCCUUGUUGCUCCAUCAUGUAGUUACCAAACAGGCUAGCCAGAAGCAGAGAGAGAGAGAGACUGAAGAGGAGUCUGUUUAUUUAUAUAUAUUGUAGAACAUGUUGGGCCGCUGCUGUUCCAUGUCUGAAAGGGGGGGGGAUGGUGAGGGAAACUGGGAUCACAUAUGGACGUGCCACGUGUAAACAAGCUUCUUUGCCUGUAUCAACUUUUCAUUUAACAGGAGUGACAAAUCUGGAUGUUGGGUCAUGGGUGAACAAAAAACAUGGUGAUUCAGUCGUUAUUCAACACAAUAAUAUCAACUUUUGAACCAA